UGGGGAGCAGCUGGGCCAUGAACUACAAGUAGCUGGGGGCUGCAGGCUAGGCUAAGCCAGGUUUGGGCAGCAUCAGGUGGCAGCAGUCCUAGUCACACAGCAGCUCAGUGUGUGCAGAGCUCCUCCAGGGGCAGAUGGCUGUCCGCAACAAAUCCCUACUCCCUGCCUAGCAGGAUCCUGUGCCAGGUAUUUCAGCUAGGCUUUGUCAGGAACCUGCUGAAGAUCCUUCAGAAAGUAUCAGCCUGGGUUGGGCUUGUGGUCCCUGUAGAGACAAUUAUCAGCAAAGUCUGCCCCACACAGUCUCCCACCAGACCUGGACGACUCGCCAAGAAGCGCUACGGGAGGCUGACGCGUCUCCUUCUCUCCAUCGUCCCCACCAGGAUCCGGAACAGUCCUGGGCCAACUGCCAGUGGACUGGGGCCAAAGCAACAUGCCCAAGGAGAUCCGAGAAGCUCUGAUCAACCCUUCUAGUAAAGCAAACAAGAGGAAACGGGACUGAUGUUGCUCUGGAGGAGCAGGUGUCCUGGGUGGAGGUGCUGGAGGGGGACCUGCUGGAGGAUGACCCUGAAGAUGUCACAUACGAGCCCUCGGAUUUGGAAACAGACAGCGAGGAGUACAAGUCCCAGAAUGACACUGAAGCAGACCUGGAGUUUGAAGAGCAGGAUGGGGUUGUUCUGUUGAAGGAGUCAUCAGCUCUCCAGGUGGAAGAUGCCCAGCCCACUGGGGGAAAUCCCAGAGCUGCUGGCUGCGAGCAUGGAGCAGGGACUGAGGGACUCGUCUGUGUCCAGCAGUGGGGAAGAUGCUUCUGACACUGACAGUGGUGAUGGUGAUGCCCAGAAGCCACCAGCUUGUGAGAGCAGUGGGGAUGGUAGUGGCCAGGAGCAGGAGGCGGAUCAUGAGAGCAGCAGUUUGUUGCAGCAUGAGGGUAAGCAGGAACCCUGACCGGUGGGCCCAGACCUCUGCUGUGGCUGUGAAGUGUCUGUUUUUCUCUGGCUGCUGUGUUCUAGUGUAAGCUGUCCAGUUAAUGAUAUUGAUAUUUUUGAACUUUAUAAUAAAUUACCCUAUUUUUCAUGUGAA
Molecule: long non-coding RNA, 1077 nt
Organism: Anas platyrhynchos (mallard)
Lineage: Eukaryota; Metazoa; Chordata; Aves; Anseriformes; Anatidae
Source: RefSeq, a predicted model, not a curated record